UGGAAAAUAGAAAAAUAAAAUAUUAUGAUUCCCAUUCAUUGCUUUUUUUGUUACAUGAAAAAUGCAAACAAAAUAUUGUUAGAACUAUAUCACAGUGUGUGUGUGUGUGUGUGUGUGUGUGAGUGUGCCUGCGUGCACGUCCAU
Molecule: small RNA, 144 nt
Filed under: Marmota monax (woodchuck)
Lineage: Eukaryota; Metazoa; Chordata; Mammalia; Rodentia; Sciuridae
Source: RNAcentral